Molecule: non-coding RNA, 324 nt
Organism: Pelobates cultripes (western spadefoot toad)
Lineage: Eukaryota; Metazoa; Chordata; Amphibia; Anura; Pelobatidae
Source: the annotation of a GenBank genome assembly
CUAAUGGGUGUGUGAACAUCGUUCCACUACAUUACAGAAUCCUUUAAAAAAGGAACUCUUCAUCUCCUUCCAAAAGUCGAGUCUUUCGACAUUAUGUCUCUAGCAGGUAUUGAUACCUAUGCGUCUGUGCCUCAUUCGGUUUGUGGGGCAAUGGCUUCUAAGGCUUCCUCGAUUGGUUGUCGCUUGGAGGAUAUUAUGAGAGCGGCUGGUCUUCGGAGUCUGCAUUCCAUGAUUUCUACUUUAGACCUAUUCAGCACUUCACAGGAGACAUGAUUUAACAGCUUUGAACUAGCAUAAUAGGAGCCUCUGUGUCUUAAGAAAAUU